UGCUCUCUUGGCGGCGAGUGGCGGACGGGUGAGUAAUGUAUCGGAACGUGCCCAGUAACGGGGGAUAACUACUCGAAAGAGUAGCUAAUACCGCAUACGCCCUACGGGGGAAGGGGGGGGAUCGCAAGACCUCUCACUAUUGGAGCGGCCGAUAUCGGAUUAGCUAGUUGGUGGGGUAAAGGCCUACCAAGGCGACGAUCCGUAGCUGGUUUGAGAGGACGACCAGCCACACUGGGACUGAGACACGGCCCAGACUCCUACGGGAGGCAGCAGUGGGGAAUUUUGGACAAUGGGGGAAACCCUGAUCCAGCCAUCCCGCGUGUAUGAUGAAGGCCUUCGGGUUGUAAAGUACUUUUGGCAGAUUGAAAAGGCGCCCUCUAAUACAGGGCGCUGCUGACGGUAUCUGCAGAAUAAGCACCGGCUAACUACGUGCCAGCAGCCGCGGUAAUACGUAGGGUGCAAGCGUUAAUCGGAAUUACUGGGCGUAAAGCGUGUGUAGGCGGUUCGGAA
Molecule: ribosomal RNA, 510 nt
Filed under: Alcaligenes sp.
Lineage: Bacteria; Pseudomonadati; Pseudomonadota; Betaproteobacteria; Burkholderiales; Alcaligenaceae
Description: bacterial SSU rRNA
Rfam family: Bacterial small subunit ribosomal RNA
Source: RNAcentral